RNAcentral lists this ribosomal RNA (434 nucleotides) under uncultured bacterium. RNAcentral's name for it is "bacterial SSU rRNA". It matches the Rfam family "Bacterial small subunit ribosomal RNA", at positions 351 to 782 of the family's 1533-position model. The record is from RNAcentral.
GCAGUGAGGAAUAUUGGUCAAUGGGCGCAAGCCUGAACCAGCCAUGCCGCGUGUAGGAUGACGCAUCUAUGGUGUGUAAACUACUUUUGUACAGGAAGAAACACUGCUACGUGUAGCAGCUUGACGGUACUGUAAGAAUAAGGAUCGGCUAACUCCGUGCCAGCAGCCGCGGUAAUACGGAGGAUCCAAGCGUUAUCCGGAAUCAUUGGGUUUAAAGGGUCCGUAGGCGGUUUUAUAAGUCAGUGGUGAAAUCCGGUAGCUCAACUAUCGAACGGCCAUUGAUACUGUAGAACUUGAAUUAUUGUGAAGUAACUAGAAUAUGUAGUGUAGCGGUGAAAUGCUUAGAUAUUACAUGGAAUACCCAUUGCGAAGGCAGGUUACUAACAAUAUAUUGACGCUGAUGGACGAAAGCGUGGGGAGCGAACAGGAUUAGA